AACGAACGCUGGCGGCAGGCCUAACACAUGCAAGUCGAGCGCGCCCUUCGGGGUGAGCGGCGGACGGGUGAGUAACGCGUGGGAACGUGCCCUUUUCUACGGAAUAGCCUCGGGAAACUGAGAGUAAUACCGUAUACGCCCUUUGGGGGAAAGAUUUAUCGGAAAAGGAUCGGCCCGCGUUGGAUUAGGUAGUUGGUGGGGUAAUGGCCUACCAAGCCGACGAUCCAUAGCUGGUUUGAGAGGAUGAUCAGCCACACUGGGACUGAGACACGGCCCAGACUCCUACGGGAGGCAGCAGUGGGGAAUCUUAGACAAUGGGGGCAACCCUGAUCUAGCCAUGCCGCGUGAGUGAUGAAGGCCUUAGGGUUGUAAAGCUCUUUCAGCUGGGAAGAUAAUGACGGUACCAGCAGAAGAAGCCCGGGCUAACUCCGUG
RNAcentral lists this ribosomal RNA (433 nucleotides) under uncultured bacterium. Its description in RNAcentral is "partial 16S ribosomal RNA". It matches the Rfam family "Bacterial small subunit ribosomal RNA", at positions 29 to 507 of the family's 1533-position model. The record is from RNAcentral.